RNAcentral lists this long non-coding RNA (611 nucleotides) under Heterocephalus glaber (naked mole-rat). Its description in RNAcentral is "lncRNA (ENSHGLG00000050982.1)". Lineage: Eukaryota; Metazoa; Chordata; Mammalia; Rodentia; Bathyergidae. The record is from RNAcentral.
GUUUUAUUUCCUAGUAUUAUCUGUGUUGGAUUUUCAUUUUAGGUUACUGCUGACCCAAGAAAGGGACCUGGAAGUGCUUCUUCUUCCAUUUGUCUUGUAUUUUGGCCCUUUUAUGUUGUUAUCACAAAAUACUAGAAACCAGGUAAUUCAUACAGAAGAAAAGUGUAUGCAGUUCACAGUUCUGGAAACUUGGCAGUCCCAGAGCAUGGAGUCUCACCUGCACAGCAUCUGGUUGUUUCCUAGACCUGACUGAGAAUCCCAGUUGGGCUUGCAGGUGCUCAGGGUGCCUUCGUCAUUUACAUGAGCCCCAGGUUCCUGGAAUCCAAAUGAGAAGAGGUCACCUGAAGGCAAGAGAACAGAAAAUGGGGCGACCACUCUACGGUCCUUGUCUCUCCAGUCCCCCGUUCCCUGCAGCUACAGAUGGCUCUUCAAACUCUGGACGCUUCCUUAUGCCUGCCUCACUGCUUCACACCUGCUCAUCAUAGGUACCCAGAUAUACCACUGCCAGACAUCAUGGAAGACGUGUGUUCUAUGCUUGUGGAGAAACUAGCUUUAACUUGGAGAUGGAGCAAUUGAAGCAUAAGCAUUAUAAAUGGCCAAUUGGCUCAGUG